ACGGCUCAGUAACACGUGGAUAACCUGCCCUUGGGUCCGGCAUAACCCCGGGAAACUGGGGAUAAUUCCGGAUAACGCACAUAUGCUGGAAUGCUUUUUGCGUAAAAUGGAUUCGUCUGCCCAAGGAUGGGUCUGCGGCCUAUCAGGUAGUAGUGGGUGUAAUGUACCUACUAGCCUACGACGGGUACGGGUUGUGAGAGCAAGAGCCCGGAGAUGGAUUCUGAGACAUGAAUCCAGGCCCUACGGGGCGCAGCAGGCGCGAAAACUUUACAAUGCGGGAAACCGUGAUAAGGGGACACCGAGUGCCAGCGUCAUACGCUGGCUGUCCAGGUGUGUAAAAUACACCUGUUAGCAAGGGCCGGGCAAGACCGGUGCCAGCCGCCGCGGUAACACCGGCGGCCCGAGUGGUGAUCGUGAUUAUUGGGUCUAAAGGGUCCGUAGCCGGUUUGGUCAGUCCUCCGGGAAAUCUGACAGCUUAACUGUUAGGCUUUCGGAGGAUACUGCCAGACUUGGAACCGGGAGAGGUAAGAGGUACUACAGGGGUAGGAGUGAAAUCUUGUAAUCCCUGUGGGACCACCUGUGGCGAAGGCGUCUUACCAGAACGGGUUCGACGGUGAGGGACGAAAGCUGGGGGCACGAACCGGAUUAGAUACCCGGGUAGUCCCAGCCGUAAACGAUGCUCGCUAGGUGUCAGGCAUGGCGCGACCGUGUCUGGUGCCGCAGGGAAGCCGUGAAGCGAGCCACCUGGGAAGUACGGCCGCAAGGCUGAAACUUAAAGGAAUUGGCGGGGGAGCAC
This 796-nucleotide ribosomal RNA is filed under the name uncultured archaeon. Its description in RNAcentral is "bacterial SSU rRNA". It matches the Rfam family "Archaeal small subunit ribosomal RNA", at positions 85 to 879 of the family's 1478-position model. The record is from RNAcentral.